UUCCGGUUCUGACUGAGAGUCACAGGCAACGUAAACAAGCGCUAUAUUUCUCUAUAAACGAUGGUGUCUGUACUGCCUUACCACUUCGAGCUCGAUCCAGAGAGUUCAGAAGGCCGUUACGAUAUAAACGAUCUCCGUCAAUGAAUGCGAUUGGAUUUAACUUUUUUAGGUGUCCUUAGCUCUGCCAGAAUGCUAAACGAAGACGAAAAUGUGUUGCAAAGACAUCCAAAAGGUUUUAAGGAGAAUGCAACAGGUUCCAGGGCCUCUUACCUGCGUGAUUCAUCAUCCAGAUAUGCUUGGAGCUUCCUGAUUGGAAUGUUGGCUUCCGACGACCCCUGCACUGAAGAUGGCAUGCAAUCACGUCCUCCUUUGAAGGUUUCUCAAACUGUGAUGCCAGG
Paramisgurnus dabryanus is the source of this 398-nucleotide long non-coding RNA. RefSeq lists it as uncharacterized. The record is from RefSeq and is a predicted model, not a curated record. NCBI's taxonomy places the organism in Eukaryota, Metazoa, Chordata, Actinopteri, Cypriniformes, Cobitidae.